This is a non-coding RNA of Taeniopygia guttata (zebra finch), 2179 nucleotides long. NCBI's taxonomy places the organism in Eukaryota, Metazoa, Chordata, Aves, Passeriformes, Estrildidae. The record is from RefSeq and is a predicted model, not a curated record.
CUCUUUGUGCUUUCUUGGACAGGAUGUUCCGCUUCUUGAUUAUGUAUUGUCUGGAACAGUGUUUCCUUUUGUUCUCUCUAGCCAAUGCCAGAUUCUUGCAUUGUGAGGAAAAAAUAAGCACCCUAUUCAUUUUUUCUGCAAAAUGUUAUAUCUCGUUAAUAUACUUCAGUAUUCUUCUUUGACUGAAAAGUUUGCCUAUUUGGUUUAGAAGCCACUCCAUAAUAGUCUCCUUGUUGAAUUUCUUUAGUCCUUCUAAUUCUUACUAAUACUAAUGCAUGACCAGAAUUACAUGUAAUGAUUAAGGUGUACACUGAGUUUAGGGAUUAUAUGGAAUUAUGAUGACUGGUUUGUUUUGUGCUCCUUUUCCAAAGCCUUCUGAUCAUUCUGUUGGCUUUUUGUCUUCUGAGCUCCCAUACCUGUGAAGAGACCAUUUGUGACUGGCAAAAGAUAACAGUUCAUAAAAUGCUAUUCAGCAACAAGAGAUAAGUAUGAAAGUACAGAGAGAAGAGUAUUCAGAACACAGCAGUGAUCAUGGACACUGAUAGUCUGGAAGUCAUCAAAUGAGUGGGGCCUGAUUGCCAACUUGGAAAGUUUGGCUUUAAGUGUUCACUCACCUACUGAUGUGGAGCCAAGUUUUGGUUCAGGUAUGUUAUCAUCUAUGAUGUUUUGUAGUAAAACUUCAGAAUGUAGAAAAUGUAGUAUGUAAUAAAUAGAAAUAUGUAUCCCCCCCAGAACUCAUACAGAAGAUAGGGAAGACAUAUAAAAGAAGCAAAUUUUGCAGAGAGAAUUAAAAAGUCAUUACCUUGCCACAUGCACGUUUUAGCCUUUAUCCUGAGAACAGAAAACCUAUGUAAUUUUGCAACCUGCAGUUGUCUUUUUGUCUGCCUGGCAUAAUUUCUCCAGGUAGUUUUAGAACUCAUGAUCAGUAUCAACCAAAUUUAAAAGAGGGUUACAGGUCAUUGCAUUACUGCAAAUUAAAUGAGAACAGGUUGGAACUCAGAGCAGGAUUUUGAGUGGGAGCAAAACUCCAGUAUGCAUGCAGUUCACACUGGGAGACUGGCCUGCUGAGAAAGUUGAGUCAUAACUCUUCUGUUAAUGGAAAUAUUUGUUAUAAUCAUAUUUGGAUAGUUCCUGAAAUCUGUAAAUGUGUUUAUUCUGCAUACUUCAGCAAUGGGAGAACUACCACAUAUCUACAGAAGAAUAAUUAUUUCCCUCUUAUGAGUGAGACUCAAAGCCCUUUCAAGCUUUUGAUGCUCUAGUGCAAGAUAAACUAAAUAGAUUUAAGAAAAAAGCAUUCCGUUUAUUUGAUGAAUGUCAUUUUUCACAUUGUCUCUCAGCUGCUCACAGUGAUAAUAGCUAAUGGCUUCUCGUCAAAGAGAAUACAGAAAAUGUGCUUCAUGGACCUAAAAGUUAAAUUAUGGCUAAAGGAGAAGAGAAGGAUACAUUACCAAACUGUUAGUGUUGCCAUACAUCUGUUACCAUGACAAAGAAAAACCCCAACCAAACAAACACAUUUAACAAUACCACAAAAUUGAAAGCAGUUAUCUUCCAUUCUCAUGAAUGAAGUUAAACUUCUGUGAAUGUUGUUUUUAGAUUGAUGCACAAGUAGUUACUAUUUAACAUUAGUAGAAGUUGGCUCUAUAGUAAAAUCUCCUGCUUUGACAUUUCCAUGUAUUAUUGAGUGAGCAGUGCCCAUGCUGAUGAAAUGUAGUUUUCUGCAACAUAUCCAGUGUAUUAAAUAAAUUGGUUGCCUCAAUGCAGUUGAGCCACACUUUUCCAUAGGAUUUACUAAAAAGCCUGACCAAAGGACCUUUUGAUGUCUAGAGUAAAGAAAUACUGAGCAGUUUCUUCUAUUCUAAUAAAAGCAAACUAUUAAGCCUUUUACAUUACAGACAAAACCACAGUAGCUGCAUAUUUAGCAACAAAUUUCAAUUACUAAUGUUCUCUUCAGUUUUUCUUAUCUAUUAUAUUACUACGUGAUCUAUUAUAUUCUACGUGAUGAUAUUGUAUAAUACUGCUGUUACAUUUAAUGUAUCAUAUUUUCUCCUCAAAGGACCUACUUUACAGGUCAGUAUGUUUAUACUUCCUAGAGUAUUUUAUACAGAGAUUUUGAAAAUGACAUUAUAAAAAUGUAAUUCUACUGCCUUCUUACAAUGUAAUAAACAAUACCUGAAUAAAA